GUCGCCGCGAGGCGGGGUGGGGAGGAAGCCGGAGGCAAAGCUCGGAGCUGACGAACAGGAAUCGGAUAGAAGGCCGGUGCGGCGGGAUAACCCAGCAAUGGAUGGGGAUGUCCGAUAGCCAGACAGACGCGCGCAUUGGUAAAUCCGGCAGCGACCGAGUGAAGGAUCAACGUC
Novosphingobium sp. AP12 is the source of this 174-nucleotide non-coding RNA. The record is from Rfam. NCBI's taxonomy places the organism in Bacteria, Pseudomonadati, Pseudomonadota, Alphaproteobacteria, Sphingomonadales, Sphingomonadaceae.